GAGCCCAAGAUUGAAAGCUGGCGUCUUCGGCGUCCGCAUUGUAAUCUCAAGAAGUGUUUUCCGCUUCGGACCAUGCCUAAGUCCCUUGGAAAAGGGCAUCAUAGAGGGUGAUAAUCCCGUACAUGGCAUGGAGCGCCCGAAGCUUUGUGAUACGCUUUCUAAGAGUCGAGUUGUUUGGGAAUGCAGCUCAAAAUGGGUGGUAAAUGCCAUCUAAGGCUAAAUAUUGGGGAGAGACCGAUAGCGAACAAGUACAGUGAUGGAAAGAUGAAAAGAACUUUGAAAAGAGAGUUAAACAGUACGUGAAAUUGCCAAAAGGGAAGGGUAGGAGGUCAGAGAUGCGGCCUGGGAUUCAGCCUUGCUUUUGCUUGGUGUUUUUCCCAGAUUGCAGGCCAACGUCGGUUUUGGGCACUGGAGAAGGGUAGGAGGAACGUGGCACCUCUCGGGGUGUGUUAUAGCCUUCUACUGGAUACAGCGACCGAGACCGAGGACAGCAGCGUACUCGCAAGAGCGGGCCUUCGGGCACCUUUACGCUUAGGGCGUUGGCAUAAUGGCCCUCUACCACCCGUCUUGA
This 571-nucleotide ribosomal RNA is filed under the name uncultured Pseudozyma. RNAcentral's name for it is "eukaryotic LSU rRNA". It matches the Rfam family "Eukaryotic large subunit ribosomal RNA", at positions 104 to 657 of the family's 3401-position model. The record is from RNAcentral. Lineage: Eukaryota; Fungi; Basidiomycota; Ustilaginomycetes; Ustilaginales; Ustilaginaceae.